AUUGAACGCUGGCGGCAGGCCUAACACAUGCAAGUCGAGCGGAUGAAGGGAGCUUGCUCCUGGAUUCAGCGGCGGACGGGUGAGUAAUGCCUAGGAAUCUGCCUGGUAGUGGGGGAUAACGUCCGGAAACGGGCGCUAAUACCGCAUACGUCCUGAGGGAGAAAGUGGGGGAUCUUCGGACCUCACGCUAUCAGAUGAGCCUAGGUCGGAUUAGCUAGUUGGUGGGGUAAAGGCCUACCAAGGCGACGAUCCGUAACUGGUCUGAGAGGAUGAUCAGUCACACUGGAACUGAGACACGGUCCAGACUCCUACGGGAGGCAGCAGUGGGGAAUAUUGGACAGUGGGCGAAAGCCUGAUCCAGCCAUGCCGCGUGUGUGAAGAAGGUCUUCGGAUUGUAAAGCACUUUAAGUUGGGAGGAAGGGCAGUAAGUUAAUACCUUGCUGUUUUGACGUUACCAACAGAAUAAGCACCGGCUAACUACGUG
This 484-nucleotide ribosomal RNA is filed under the name uncultured bacterium. RNAcentral describes it as "partial 16S ribosomal RNA". It matches the Rfam family "Bacterial small subunit ribosomal RNA", at positions 30 to 507 of the family's 1533-position model. The record is from RNAcentral.